This is a long non-coding RNA of Perognathus longimembris pacificus (Pacific pocket mouse), 1081 nucleotides long. RefSeq lists it as uncharacterized. Lineage: Eukaryota; Metazoa; Chordata; Mammalia; Rodentia; Heteromyidae. The record is from RefSeq and is a predicted model, not a curated record. The transcript is spliced from 2 exons.
GCUUUCUUCACUGGAGCUCGUCUCAAGACCUUUUUUGCCAGGGUUGGCCUCAAAUGAUAAUCCUCCUGAUCUCCAUCUCCUAAGUAACUAGGAUUAUAGGUGAGAGCCUCUUGUACUUUGUACAUCUCAGUGUUUCAAAAUGAGAUCAUCUAUUUCAGGAAAAGGUCUGGCUCACAGGUGCCAAAUUGACAUUAAUUUCCUUCUUCUACUACAUUUGGUUCCAUCUUACACAGGUAAACUUUAGCUAACAUCCACUCACAUUGACACCUCAUCAGUUAAUCAAUCAGCAUUGAGGACUGUUUUAUGUAAGGCACAAUGGGAAACCUAGGGUGACAAGUACCAUGCAAUGCAAUUCUAACCUGAUUAAGGUUCAUGUGUGGGAACACAUGAAAAGUUAAAGAAUAAUAGUUGGUUAUCAAUUCACCAAUAGAAGUUGCCACUAAACUCAUCUAAAGUAAUGAUCCCACAACUACUAUGACCAGAGCUCAAGAGGCUGCAAGUUUGCAGCCACACUGAAAUGAAUGUUGUCACAGAAGCAAAAGGAUGUGAAAGAAGCGUUGAAGUUAGGAAACCUGUGAGAGAGAGGAAGGUAGUUUACUCUGAACAAAGCCUUUGGAUUCUCCUCCUCAUCUUCCCUCAGUGACCUUCAAAGAUCUUGUUUACUUGCAGCGAAGUGUUCAGUUCCAGACAUGGUUCCAGAACAGAGGCAUGAGGAACUGAAGAACAUUAGCCAUUGAAGCUAACAAGACAUGACAGUGAUUAGAUCAAGAUGAUGAUGGGGGAAAUAAUGAGACAACAAUGGAAUUUGCUUUAAAUGUUAUUUUUAAGGAAAGGGAAGAAAAAGUGUAAUAAGGUAAAUAUGAGAAAAUUAUAAAUUUUGAAUCCCAGUGAAGAAUUUAUAGGAAAUAAUUAUUCUAUUCUCUCUAUGUUUGCAUGUUUGAAAACUGUCAUAAUAAAAGUUUAGAACUAAAAUGUAGAUAGUUACUUAUAAGAGGAAGUAGAGCACCAGAGAAUAAGUGCCAAGAAUGGGUGUGACACAGGGUAGAGUUUUUUGUUUGUUAAACAAGAGGAAAAUGAAAAA